This is a non-coding RNA of Acanthosepion pharaonis, 97 nucleotides long. Lineage: Eukaryota; Metazoa; Mollusca; Cephalopoda; Sepiida; Sepiidae. The record is from the annotation of a GenBank genome assembly.
GUGGAUACACCGAAUCUCGCACGAUCACCGAAUUUAAGCAACGUUGAGCCUGGUUAAUACAUAGAUGGGUGACCGCUUGGAAUAUGAGGUGUUGUAA